AUUCUAGAAAAGACAAUUUUAGUCCCCCAAUUUAAAUUUAAUUUUAAUGAAAAGUUUAAAGUGCCAUUUUUAGACGAUAAGACCCUAUGAAGCUUCAUUACGCAUAAUUUUUUUGGGGAAAAAUCUAAUUUUUUUAUUGGAGAAUUAGAAGUGAUAUUGAUCUUACAGAACUGGAAGAAAAAGCUACUCUAGGGAUAACAGCAUAAUUUUUACUAAAGCCCUCAUUGAAGUAAAAGAUUGUGACCUCGAUGUUGAAUUAAGAAAAUUAUUUUGUGUAGCAGCUAAAUAAUCGUAGUCUGUUCGACUAGGACAUCUUACAUGAUCUGAGUUCAAACCGGA
Molecule: ribosomal RNA, 339 nt
Filed under: Hemidiaptomus superbus
Lineage: Eukaryota; Metazoa; Arthropoda; Copepoda; Calanoida; Diaptomidae
Description: partial 16S ribosomal RNA
Rfam family: Bacterial large subunit ribosomal RNA (bases 39-339)
Source: RNAcentral